This 301-nucleotide ribosomal RNA is filed under the name uncultured bacterium. RNAcentral describes it as "partial 16S ribosomal RNA". It matches the Rfam family "Bacterial small subunit ribosomal RNA", at positions 509 to 807 of the family's 1533-position model. The record is from RNAcentral.
CAGUCGCCGCGGGAACACGUAGGGUGCGAGCGUUAAUCGGAAUUACUGGGCGUAAAGCGUGCGCAGGCGGUUUUGUAAGACAGGCGUGAAAUCCCCGGGCUCAACCUGGGAAUGGCGCUUGUGACUGCAAAGCUAGAGUGCGGCAGAGGGGGAUGGAAUUCCGCGUGUAGCAGUGAAAUGCGUAGAUAUGCGGAGGAACACCGAUGGCGAAGGCAAUCCCCUGGGCCUGCACUGACGCUCAUGCACGAAAGCGUGGGGAGCAAACAGGAUUAGAUACCCGAGUAGUCCCUGUCUCUUAUAC